Molecule: ribosomal RNA, 253 nt
Filed under: uncultured bacterium
Lineage: Bacteria
Description: partial 16S ribosomal RNA
Rfam family: Bacterial small subunit ribosomal RNA
Source: RNAcentral
UACGAAAGGGGCUAGCGUUGUUCGGAAUUACUGGGCGUAAAGCGCACGUAGGUGGAUUGCUAAGUCAGGGGUGAAAUCCCGAGGCUCAACCUCGGAACUGCCUUUGAUACUGGCAAUCUCGAGUCCGGGAGAGGUGAGUGGAAUUCCUAGUGUAGAGGUGAAAUUCGUAGAUAUUAGGAAGAACACCAGUGGCGAAGGCGGCUCACUGGCCCGGUACUGACACUGAGGUGCGACAGCGUGGGGAGCAAACAGG